Molecule: long non-coding RNA, 223 nt
Filed under: Elaeis guineensis (African oil palm)
Lineage: Eukaryota; Viridiplantae; Streptophyta; Magnoliopsida; Arecales; Arecaceae
Description: long non-coding RNA (EGUI_LNC052934)
Source: RNAcentral
AUAUCUUAGAUCUUUGAUUCUCAAAUCUAGAUCGCUUAAUUCUCAAUUAAGUUUUGGAUUGACAUGGGUUUGGAUUCGAUGUUUGAAAAUAAUUUUUAAUUUUAUAAAAUAUUUUUUAUAAUCAAUCAUCUAAUGAUCAAGACUCUAAUUUCAGAUCUAAUAUACAUUAUUUCAGAUCUAAAAUAAAAUUUUAAAUUUUUUUCAUUAUUUAUCAUCAUAGAAA